AAGCAACCGACGGUUCCCCACUGCUCCCAGGAGCGGUUACCUGGGCACUCUGUGCCCCUCCUUCCUGUUCGGGCCCAGGCCGAGGACCUGCCAGUAGGGCUCAGUUGCCUGGAGCCCGUUCAGCCCAUCCCCCAGUUCACUUUGCUUGUGGGAUCUCCCCGUUGCUCCUGCCCGUGGACUGAGUGGCAGGCCAUCCUACAAGCACCCGGACACUUGACAUCAGUGGUGUCAAGACAACUCUAAGAAGGUUUUCGGUGAUCCUGCAAGCCCUGCGUUCCUUCCUGGGAUCCUGCCUUCAAUUUGAUUGCACAGGUACCACAGCAAGCCAGUGCUGUGUGCUCCGAGUUCCAGGGCGUCCUCCAGCUCAGCCACUGCACUGAGAACAUGGACUCUCUGUGGGGCCCAGGAGCCGGGAGUCACCCCUUUGGGGUCCACAACACCCGGCUGUCCCCAGACUUGUGUCCAGGGAAGAUAGUGUUGAGGGCCCUCAAGGAGAGCGGGGCAGGGAUGCCUGAGCAGGACAAGGACCCUAGAGUCCAAGAGAAUCCUGGUGAUCAGAGAAGGGUCCCCGAGGUCACCGGGGAUGCACCGUCUGCAUUUCGGCCCCUGCGGGACAAUGGAGGCCUCUCUCCCUUUGUGCCCAGGCCCGGGCCUCUGCAGACAGACCUCCAUGCCCAGAGGUCAGAAAUCAGAUAUAACCAGACAUCCCAGACCUCCUGGACGAGCUCCUGCACCAACCGAAAUGCCAUCUCCAGCUCCUACAGCUCCACGGGAGGCUUGCCGGGGCUAAAGCGGAGGAGGGGGCCAGCCUCAUCCCACUGCCAGCUGACCCUCAGUUCCUCAAAGACAGUGAGUGAGGACAGGCCUCAGGCUGUCUCUUCAGGUCACACCCAGUGUGAAAAGGCAGCAGAUAUAGCACCAGGGCAGACACUCACCCUCAGGAAUGACUCCUCCACAUCCGAGGCCUCUAGGCCCAGUACACACAAGUUUCCCCUGCUGCCACGCAGGCGAGGGGAGCCUUUGAUGCUGCCACCUCCCUUAGAGCUGGGGUACCGGGUCACUGUUGAAGACCUGGACCGGGAGAAGGAGGCGGCAUUCCAGCGCAUCAACAGUGCACUGCAGGUUGAGGACAAGGCCAUCUCGGACUGCAGACCCUCAUGGCCUUCCCACACUUUGUCCUCACUUGCAACAGGGGCUUCUGGUCUGCCUGCUGUUUCUAAAGCAUCCAGUAUGGAUGCACAGCAGGAGACACACAAGUCCCAAGACUGCCUGGGCCUACUGGCCCCCUUAGCAUCUGCUGCAGAGGUCCCCUCUACAGCUCCCGUGUCUGGGAAGAAGCACAGACCACCAGGCCCCCUGUUCUCCUCCUCAGAUCCCCUUCCUGCCACCUCUUCUGAUUCCCAGGACUCAGCCCAGGUCACCUCGCUGAUUCCUGCCCCCUUCCCAGCUGCAAGCAUGGAUGCAGGCAUGAGAAGAACAAGGCGUGGCACUUCUGCUCCUGCAGCUGCCACAGCAGCCCCUCCCCCCUCCACACUGAACCCCACGUUGGGGUCACUACUGGAGUGGAUGGAGGCCCUUCACAUUUCUGGGCCUCAGCCACAGCUGCAGCAGGUGCCCAGAGGUCAGAACCAGAGAUCCCAGACCUCCCGGACCAGCUCGUGCCCCAAAUGAAAUGCCAUCUCGAGCCCCUACAGCUCUACGGGAGGCCUCCCGGAACGAAAGCGGAAGAGGGGCCAGCCUCAUCCCACUGCCAGCUGACCCUCAGUUCCUGAAACACACUGAGUGAGGACGGACCUCAGGCUGUCUCUUCGGGUCACAUCCAGUGUGAAAAGACGGCAGAUACAGCACCAGGGCAGACACUCGCCCCCAGGGGUGGCUCCCCCAGAUCCCAGGCCUCUAGGCCCCGUAGAUGCAAGUUUCCCCUGCUGCCACGCAGGCGAGGGGAGCCUUUGAUGCUGCCACCUCCCUUAGAGAUGGGGUACCGGGUCACUGCUGAAGACCUGGACCGGGAGAAGGAGGCGGCCUUCCAGCGCAUCAACAGUGCACUGCAGGUUGAGGACCAGGCCAUCUCGGACUGCAGACCCUCACGGCCUUCCCACACUUUGUCCUCACUUGCAACAGGGGCUUCUGGUCUGCCUGCCGUUUCUAAAGCACCCAGUAUGGAUGCACAGCAGGAGACACACAAGUCCCAAGACUGCCUGGGCCUAGUGGCCCCCCUGCAUCUGCUGCACAGGCCUGUAGUCCCAGCUACUUGGGAGGCUGAGGCAGGAGAACGGCAUAAACACGGGAGGCAGAGCUUGUAGUGAGCUGAGAUCGCGCCACUGCAAUCCAGCCUGGGUGACAGAGCCAUACUCCGUCUCAAAAAAAAAAGAAAAAGAAAAAAAGUUCUUGUGACAUUUGUGUAUGAAAUCAGCCUUCACUACAUGGAUAGGACCAGCACGCUUCCGCGGCACGACUCUGCAAUCUUACUACAUUUUUUUUAUUUUGUAUUUUUUUUAUUCCUUUUGAGACAGUCUCACUCUGUCACCCAGGCUGAAGUGCAGCCGAGAUCUUGGCUCACUGCAACCUCCACCUCUUGGGUUCAAGCAAUUCUCCUGUCUCAGCCUCCCAAGUAGCUGGGACUACAGGCACACGUCAAAACGCCUGGCUAAUUUUUGUAUUUUUAGUAGAGAUGGAGUUUUGCCAUAUUGGUCAGGCUGGUCUCGAACUCCUGACCUCAGGUGAUCGACCUGUCUUAGCCUCCCGAACUGCUAGGAUUACAGGUGUAUGUUUAUUUAUUUAUUUAUUUAAGAUGGAAUCUUGCUCUGUAUUUAUUAAUUUAUUUAUUUGAGAUGGAGUCUUGCUCCAUCGCCCAGGCUAGAGUGCAGUGGUGCAAUCUCGGCUCCCUGCAACCUCUGACUUCCAGUUUCAAGUGAUUCUCCUGCCUCAGUGUCCCAAGUAGCUGGGAUUACAGGUGCCUGCCACCACAGCUGGCUAAUUUUUGUAUUUUUAGUAGAGACAGUGUUUCACCAUCUUGGCCAGGCUGGUCUCGGGCUCCUGACCUCAUGAACCACCUGCCUCAGCCUCCCAAAGUGUUGGGACUACAGGCCUAAGGCACCAUGCUCGGCCAUAUUUAUUUAUUUAAAUAUUUAGAGACAAAGUCUUGCUCUGUCACCCAGGCUGGAGUGCAGUGGCGCCAUCUCAGCUCACUGCAGCCUCCGCCUCCGAGGUUUAAGCGAUUCUCAUGCCUCAGCCUCCUGAGUAACUGGGACUACGGGUACUCACCACCAUGCAGGGAUAUUUUUUUCUAUUUUUUUUAGAGACACGGUUUCACCAUGUUGGCCAGGCUGGUCUCAAACUCCUGACCUUAGGUGAUCUGACAGCCUCGUCCUCUCAAAGUACUGGGAUUACAGGCAUGAGCCACUGUGCCCGGCCUCUCACUACAUUUAAGUGACGCCAUGGCUCAUGCCUGUAAUCCCGGCACUUUGGGAGGCCAAGGCAGGUGGAUCACUUGAGGUCAGGAGUUCGACAUGAGCCUGGCCAACAUGGGGAAACCCCGUCUCUAGUAAAAAUGCACAAAUUAGUCAGGCAUGGUGGUACAAGCCUGUAGGCCCAGCUACUUGGAAGGCUGAGGCAGGAGAAUCACUUUAACCGGGAGGCAGAGGUUGCAGUGAGCCAAUAUCAUGUCACUGCACUCCAGCUUGGGUGACAGAGUGAGACACCGUCUCAAAAAAAAAAAAAGAAAACAGAAAAACAUAUGAUGCCAGGGCGUCUCGGCCUCAAUACCUGCAUGAGCACAGUCAUGUCCAGGCCAGGGCUGCUGGUCGAGGUCCGGCCCCAUCUCUUUCAGCAGAAAGGGAGUAAGCUUGCCGGGAGGCUGGGGGACAAGAUCCCAGGAUCUCAGCCUCCGCUCAUGGAUCAGCUCCGAGACCCCGAGUGAGCUGGGGGUGCUCUGUGCGCAUUGGUUUCCCCAGCUGUCAAGUAAAGGGAUUGGAUGAGGAAGUCUUGUCAAGGUGGAAUGAUCUCAGAUUUGGGGCAGCAGUGAAUGAUCCCGCUCCCUGAGCCAUGCCAGUGGCCCGGCCUCGGCUCAACACAGCCCCAACACUCUGGAAUGGGGAUGAGGGGGCAGUCAGCUCUUGCUCCUAGUAAGAGAGAUGCAAUAGGGCUCUGUGGCUGAGCUGGGUGCCUUGCCUCACACCUGUAAUCCCAACCUUUGAGAGGCUGAGGCGGGAGGAUUGCUUGAGGCCGGGAAUUUUGAGAAUAGCCUGGACAACAUAGCCAGACCCCAUGUCUACAAAAUAAUAAUAAAACACACAGCUAUAGUCCAAGCUACUUGGCAGGCUGAGGCAGGAAGGUCCCUUGAGUCCGGGAAUUGGAGGCUGCAUUGAGCUAUAAUCGCACCACUGCACUCCAGCUUGGGUGACAAAGUGAGACCCUGUCUCUAAAAGAAAAAAAAAUUGUCCUGUGAGCAUGGGUUUGAUCUUCAAACAGGACCCGGAGGGUAGGGACAGACAGUGCUGUCACCCUUAGGUGCUGAACACUCAGAAACGGGCCAGCGGCAGUCCUUUCCUCACCUGCAGACACCAGAUUGGGCAGAACAGCACGUGGCACUUGCAGCUCUUGCAGUGAGGGCAGAACCCAGUGUCAACCCUUCUGCCUGUGGGAGGGGCUGCUGAGGCCUGCGGAGAGGCCAGGGUGGAGGCUCGUCCCCUUGUCCAGCCCUUGGCGUGGUCUCCACCAGGUCCCCAGCCCACCAGUGUAGGGCGCCCCUGAGCCUGCUGCUGCCACGGGCCCUGUCUCUACCCAGGACGUCCCCCGACCCUCGCAGUGUCAGGGAAAUGAUCAUGGUGGUGGUGACACUCUGCAGGCAGGGCUGCUGAGAGAAGCUGAGAAGGGUCACACUGCAGGCAGGGGCCCGUGUGACAAGCCCCUCUCACCCCGAGAGAGCUGACCAGGCAGCUCACGAGCAGAGCCACAUCCCGGGAGUCCGAGAAAGGUCCUGGCUGGGCUCAGCCACCUCACUGGCCACGGGCAGCCUUUGUCGUGUGAGCCUUGCUCUCCUGGGGAGGCUCAGGCUGACGGCUGAUGUGGGCAUUGCCGAGGGUAACCUGUGGCCCAGUGUAUAUGGCCGGGUCUCCUCAAGCUGCAUUCAUUCAAGUAGGACCCAGGGUGCAUGCCCAUCUCCAGCCCAGGGCAGCUCCCCUGUAAGCUGGGUGAGCUACUGAAGCCAAGGUGGGAGGCAGCUGACAUCACCACCCACGGCCCAUGCGGAGGUGGCAGAAAGGCUGGACUCAGCAGCAACACCAAAUCCCGGACCAGGCAGAAACCACCCAAGACUGAGGGGCUCAUGCCAGAGCGGUGGCCACAGGUAAGAACCCGGGCCCAGGCUGUGUGGCAGGAAUCCUCCAUGUCCCAGGGCUUAGCAUAGCAAAGGAAGACCAGCCGGGUCACCCUGGUGGCCAUCUGUCCCUGUCCCACCUGCAGAGUCAGAACAGCCUCUCCCCAGUGGGGAUCCUCUCUCUCUGCCAAAGCAACAGCGGUCCCUGCCCCAACCAGACUACCCCACUCAGUGGAGUUACGGAUGCUGCUCCAGCAUCCUAACACUGCCCAGCUGGUGCCUGCCUGUGCUCACCCACACCCCCCAGGCCGGCCUUCCCUGCAGCCUGGGCUUGGCCACCUUGGCCUGAUUGAGCACUGAGGCCUCCUGGGCACCCAGCCCUAUCACUGCACCUGCUGCUUCCAGCCCCACCCCACCGGCUCUGGGGUUCUUCCCAGCGGCGCUGAUCAUGAAGUCAACAUGCACGCAAGUCGUCUCAGGAAACUUUUUAAUGAAAGUGUCGGCCACGGUGGUGUGUAGGUGGCUGAGCUCAGAUUGCAGCUGCUAAGACACCAGCCACUUACCAAGAGAAAGCCAGGCUGCUUCAAACCCAGGGCCCGCGGCAAAAAAGCAUCACUUCCGGCCGGGGAGUCUGGAAGCCACGCCUUGUGGGAGGUCACACUGGCAUCUAGGCCUUCGCCUGCACUGCAGAAGGAGAGCCGGGUCCCCUCCUGGAGAACGCUGCGUUCCCCAGCCCCACACCGGCUUUGCCACCACACAGGCUGUUGAGGCAGGAGGCGGAGACUUCAGAACCCACUCCUGAGAACAGCGGAGCCAGGCGCUUAGAGGAAGACCAAAUGCUGCCAGGACACGGAUUGUCCAGGGAUUACAUUCCAGCAUCUUAUUAGAGAUGGGGUUUGCUACAUUGCCCAGACUGGUCUCAAACACCUGGGUUCAGUUGUCCUGCCUCGGCCUCCCAAAGUGCUGGGAUUACAGGCAUGAGCCACCACACCCGAACACUUGGGGUGGUUUUAAGCCCCCAGCAAGGUGCACCAGCAGGACCAGGAGGUGGCCUGGGCACCCCCUAUCACUCCCAUCCAUGCAAACCUAGAGGACCGAAGCAGAGGGUGCUGUUUCAACGCCACCACCAGGAGAGAGGCAGAGGGGCUGUGCCGUGCUAGAGUCCUCAGGGAGGGAGUGACCUCGACCCUGGCUGUGCUGCAAGCUGACUCCAGCCUUGGGGUCAGCAGCACCCGGCGAACAGCAGCAGGAGGAGCCGCUAGAGCAGCUGCUCAUGGGCAGAGCUGCCCUCGGGCAACUCCUGCCACCACCCCCUCCCCAGGGAGCCCAAGGCAGGGGAGGCUCAGCAUGGAAUGAAACAGGGGAGUGAGGGACACAAGGAGGUGGGAAGUGGGAGGGUCCCAGCCCCACCAAGUACACAGAGACCCCCUCGUCGUCCUGGACACCACAGGGGCACCUGCAGGCUGGGAGACCAGGUCCUCUGUGCAUGGGCCCGGGAGGCAGACCUGCCCUAAGGGUGAUGCAGAGGCCACAGGUGCUGCACGCACCAGCACCCGCUCUAGACAUCAGCCUCCAGGUUGACUAAGGGUCAGGUCAUGUUUGAAACCAUGCUUGGCUGGACCAGGACCCAUGGCAAGAGCACCCAGGCACCCUCCUUCAGCCCUGGUCUGCAGGAAGGAGGACAGCAGACUUUAGGACCCCAUAGCACAGCAGUGCUGACUAUUUCAGCCUCUUGGUCUCCUUGAGGAGUAGGGAUGGGGAGCCCUCUGGGGAUGGGCAAGGCCUUCCAGGACAGGCUCGGUUCUGGUCCCCUGCUUUUUGAGGUUGGGUUAAAAUGCCGACCACGGCAGAGGGGUUACAGCUCAGGUUCCCACACCUCGCUUUUCACAGCCUCCGAGGGCAGCAGUGCACGUGGAGGAGACGUCUCCCAUGAGGCCAAGGCCUCCAGUGCUCACCGAUGCCCUCUGCGAAGUUGGGGUAGAACUCGUCAGUGAAGAGGGGCUCGGGCAGCUCACGGAAGUACAGCUUCAGCGUGCCUGCGAUGGCGUUCACGUCCAUCUCGCUCAUCAUCACCGACACGUCCUUGUUAUCUGGAAAGAGCACGGAAAUGCAGCGGCCUCCUUGAAGAUCCUGAUAAAUGAAGAAAAGACACAGAGAAGGAUGUGACAUGCCUGGGCCAUGGAGCACUCUGAGAUCUCAUCGCGGACACCACUGCCCACACCUCCAUCCCGUCCUGCGCAGGCCGACACUCACUGACGUUGAAGCCUGCCUUCAGUGCCUGGAUGUCCGUGGCCACACCGGACACGCGGUAGAUGCCCACCUCCUCCAUGCCUCGGCGCUCGAUCUCCUCCACGCACUGGCGCAUGAUGUAGGGCACCUUGGACCUCUCUCUCCUGCGGGAGGAGGGAAUGUUCUCAGUGUCCUAACAGCCCCGCUUGGGCCAUAACACAGGAGGCCUGCUCCCUAUCUGCACACCCGGAGGUGGGGUGAGGACGGUGACGAAGGUACCCAGGUCUGGGGCUGCACACAGAGCCUUCUGCAUGCCUGUCCUCCCUCUGCAAGCUCUGUCCUCAUGGCAUGUGCUUUCUCAGGAACCUUUCAAGCGGCCAGAACCCCUGCGAAUCACACAUGACCUUUGCGGGAAGGUCAGGAGGCCUGUCUAAGUCAAGUCAGCACAGGAAGGGCAUCUGACAGAUUCCAGGCCUGGGGUUAGCAGCCUGUGCCCCCGGCUGGGAGGUCAGACCCGGUGUUGGUCCUGCCACCCACGUGCUGUGUGAGAGGAGAAUCCCUGACCCCUGCCCUGGGCCUUAACACACAUCCGACGAAUGAAUGAAGGGUUGCCUCAGCACCGGUGCUCCAAGUCCUGCGAUGCUAAGUGCUUUUCUCCUCUGAGUCUUAGCAAUGGACAAUUCCAAUACCUCCACACAGGACACUAGAGUAAGAAUCCUUCACAGUUAGAACGCAGUGCUGUGCGGAGGCCCUAACUUGAGUUCUGUUUUGCACCUGGAUUUACCAGCACAUCAAAGCUGCUUCGCAAGCCCCCUCAUUAGCAGGGCUUAUCUGGGGGAGCUGCUCAUGGAGUCCUCGCUGCUCAUGCCCACAGCCCUCCCAGAGUGCUAUGCGAGUGGCUGCCGUGCAGUUGGGGGUGGGGCGUGGUGUUUAGACACAGAUAGGAGUCCAGGGUAUGACUGAUGGAGGCCCCGGCCCACGUGACCAGCAAGGUCAGAGGCCCAGCCAGAUUCCAUCCUGGGGAAGCAAAUGAAUUCUCAGAGGAAGUGGUCUAUGUCUGCAUGAACUGCUCUCAAACCAAACAGGCUUCUCUUGGCAACUGACUCGUGACAAAGGGGCAGGGGUUAUGGCCAUUCAACAGGAAUCUGGGACCGUGACUAAUUCCAAGCAAGGGCAGAAAACCCUGCACUUGGGCAGUUCCUGGAGCCAGCCUACUGCUUCCAAGCAAGGUGGCAAGGACAUUCCUGAGCUGGUUUGCAGGAAACACAGGAGGUAGCUGAAGACGCCGUGUUCCCUGGGGCCUGACCUCACCGUGCAGUGGCCAUGCACAGAGAGGAGAGACCCACACAUGCUCUUUUCUGCAGAAACAGCUGAAGGGACAGGCACCCUCAGUGCGUGAGCCCAAGCCCCUCCCCACUCACUUGGUGACCACAGCAAUCUUGACUCCGAAGACCCCUGUCUGUUUUCGGGACGGCAUCCUCUUCAAGCUGAACUCCCUGCUGUUGAACUUGACCGAGAGCUUUACUUCGAUCUACAGUGGGGAGAAGGGGCACAGUCCUCUAAUCCUUCUGGUCCUCACAGCCCAAGGUCCCAAGGACCCCUGGGAGUCUCAUCAAAUAUUUCCACCCCCAAGGCAUGCAGAGGUCUCAGCAUGAGGUGGAGCCGCCCCUCGGGGAAGCCCCUAGUCUACUUCAGCAAGAGCCAGGAUUGUUGAAGAUGAUAUAAACGACUGGUUUCUGCAGAAGCACCUCCUAAAAUCCCCGCUGCUUCUCUUGCUUGCUUGCUUUUUUUUUAGAUAUGGGAUCUUGCAAUGUUGCCCAGGCUGUAAUCAAACUCUUGGGCUCCAGUGAUUCUCCUGGCUCAGCCUCCAGAGUAGCUGAGAUUAUAGUGUACUGUGACCAGCUUUCUCUUAGUAACAAUUAAAAAUUAAGAAGGAAAGACAGAAUAAUGUAAGAAAAAGCCAAGAAUCUCAAAUAUUAACAUUUUACCAUUUAUACCCGG
Homo sapiens (human) is the source of this 9547-nucleotide RNA transcript. It is a transcript of the gene named POM121 transmembrane nucleoporin like 10, pseudogene, with no coding region annotated. The record is from RefSeq and is marked validated. NCBI's taxonomy places the organism in Eukaryota, Metazoa, Chordata, Mammalia, Primates, Hominidae. The transcript is spliced from 6 exons.